This 927-nucleotide ribosomal RNA is filed under the name uncultured prokaryote. RNAcentral describes it as "bacterial SSU rRNA". It matches the Rfam family "Bacterial small subunit ribosomal RNA", at positions 515 to 1441 of the family's 1533-position model. The record is from RNAcentral.
CCGCGGUAAUACGGAGGGUGCAAGCGUUAAUCGGAAUUACUGGGCGUAAAGCGUGCGUAGGCGGUUUAUUAAGUCAGAUGUGAAAGCCCCGGGCUUAACCUGGGAACUGCAUUUGAAACUGGUCAACUAGAGUAUGGCAGAGGAAAGUGGAAUUUCUGGUGUAGCGGUGAAAUGCGUAGAUAUCAGAAGGAACAUCAAUGGCGAAGGCAGCUUUCUGGACCAAUACUGACGCUGAGGUACGAAAGCGUGGGUAGCAAACAGGAUUAGAUACCCUGGUAGUCCACGCCGUAAACGAUGAUAACUAGCCGUUGGGGGGAUUUACCCCUUAGUGGCGAAGCUAACGCGUUAAGUUAUCCGCCUGGGGAGUACGGCCGCAAGGCUAAAACUCAAAGGAAUUGACGGGGACCCGCACAAGCGGUGGAGCAUGUGGUUUAAUUCGAUGCAACGCGAAGAACCUUACCUGGUCUUGACAUCCUGCGAACUUUCUAGAAAUAGAUUGGUGCCUUCGGGAACGCAGUGACAGGUGCUGCAUGGCUGUCGUCAGCUCGUGUCGUGAGAUGUUGGGUUAAGUCCCGUAACGAGCGCAACCCCUAUCCUUAUUUGCCAGCACAUUAUGGUGGGAACUAUAAGGAGACUGCCGGUGAUAAACCGGAGGAAGGCGGGGACGACGUCAAGUCAUCAUGGCCCUUACGACCAGGGCUACACACGUGCUACAAUGGGAAGGACAAAGAGCCGCGAAGCCGCGAGGUGUAGCUAAUCUCACAAAUCUUUUCGUAGUCCGGAUUGGAGUCUGCAACUCGACUCCAUGAAGUCGGAAUCGCUAGUAAUCGUAGAUCAGAAUGCUACGGUGAAUACGUUCCCGGGUCUUGUACACACCGCCCGUCAUACCAUGGGAGUGGGUUGCACCAGAAGUGGCUAGUCUAACUU